CGUGUAGGCGGUUAGGCAAGUCAGGUGUGAAAUCCCUUGGCUCAAACCAAGGAAGUGCGCUUGAAACUGCUUAACUAGAGUACAGGAGGGGAAAGUGGAAUUCCCAGUGUAGAGGUGAAAUUCAUAGAUAUUGGGAGGAACACCGGUAGCGAAGGCGGCUUUCUGGCCUGAUACUGACGCUGAGACGCGAAAGCGUGGGGAGCAAACA
RNAcentral lists this ribosomal RNA (208 nucleotides) under uncultured bacterium. RNAcentral describes it as "partial 16S ribosomal RNA". It matches the Rfam family "Bacterial small subunit ribosomal RNA", at positions 568 to 774 of the family's 1533-position model. The record is from RNAcentral.